RNAcentral lists this ribosomal RNA (484 nucleotides) under uncultured bacterium. Its description in RNAcentral is "partial 16S ribosomal RNA". It matches the Rfam family "Bacterial small subunit ribosomal RNA", at positions 29 to 507 of the family's 1533-position model. The record is from RNAcentral.
AUUGAACGCUGGCGGCAGGCCUAACACAUGCAAGUCGAGCGGAUGAAGGGAGCUUGCUCCUGGAUUCAGCGGCGGACGGGUGAGUAAUGCCUAGGAAUCUGCCUGGUAGUGGGGGAUAACGUCCGGAGACGGGCGCUAAUACCGCAUACGUCCUGAGGGAGAAAGUGGGGGAUCUUCGGACCUCACGCUAUCAGAUGAGCCUAGGUCGGAUUAGCUAGUUGGUGGGGUAAAGGCCUACCAAGGCGACGAUCCGUAACUGGUCUGACAGGAUGAUCAGUCAAACUGGAAGGGAGAAACGGACCAGACUACUAAGGCAGACAGCGGUGGGCAAUAUUGGACAAUGGGCGAAAUGCUUAAAAAGCCAUGGUGAGUGUGGGAGAAGGGCAGUAGGAUUGUAAAGCGCUUUAAGGAGGGAGAAAGGAAAGUAAGUAAAUACCAUGCUGGUGCGACGUGACCAGCAAAAAAAGCACCGGCGAACCUCGUG